Long non-coding RNA from Boleophthalmus pectinirostris (great blue-spotted mudskipper), 2441 nucleotides. RefSeq lists it as uncharacterized. NCBI's taxonomy places the organism in Eukaryota, Metazoa, Chordata, Actinopteri, Gobiiformes, Gobiidae. The transcript has 3 exons. The record is from RefSeq and is a predicted model, not a curated record.
AUAUAGAACAUGCUUCCCCGGCUUCCUAUAAAGAGGGGAGGCGCGUGUACACUGUGUACUAUCCAUCCCAGCCAAGGCAAUCCGUCCCAAAAGCUGUCCAAACCUCAUCACAACUCCGGGUCACCAGUGCCCCCCUGAGCUCCAGCCCUCCACAGCAGCAGACAUGAUCAUCAGACUGGGCAGACUGACUCCUGGAUACUUCCGCCUUCUCCAGAGACAAGUGGCGGGUGAGAUCCAGACCCAACCCCAGGACCGUGCCGUCAACCAGAUCGCCAUGAUGCUGGCCAUUAUGGGUCUGAGCCUGUCCUACUACAGUGCCAAACAGAUGACGGAGAAGGUCCAAGCCCAGCAGACACCCUGAACACAACGCUAGCCUUAAACGAAGAGAAGAAAAAGAAGAAUAAGUCGCAAGUGAAGGAGCUGAGAUGCGGGAGAUGGCGUCGGAAGUGUCACGGCGGACAGCACGUUCUACUUUCUCCACAGUCAACAGUCAACGCAUCCUCACUAUACGCAGAUUUCAGAACUGCUGCUGCUAGUGUUUUCCCUGCUUUAAUGUCGUUGGGACCUUAAGGGAAGUGUGGGGAUUGGGCAAGCUCGCCAGGGUUGGGGUGCCUGGUUUAGUUUAUUUUAAAGCAAUUCAAAAAUGGGUGAUCUAAACCAGUUUGUUCUCAACUGGGUCAGGGCAUUAGCUGUUUCUAAAGUUCAUGUGAGUAAGACGUAGCGAAAACUGGUAAAUAUUGAUUUUACUGUGAAUUUUAAAAACAGAUAACAGUUAUUUGCUUGUUGAACUUUGAGACAGAGUGGUGCCAGGUCCAGGAAGUAUUAGAUGAACCCGUUUUCUAGUUGUAUUUUUCCCUAAGUAGGAAAACAUGGCAGCACUGUCUGAACAGAGCUAUACUGUCUAAAAAUGUUUAUAGUGUAUAGAAAUAUUUGAAUUUAUUUGCACAUAACUCAUUCAUUUUGGAUCUUUCGUCAAACGGACUUCAACGACUCACUACCUACUUUCUUUCGUUCACAUCACGUUAUAUUUUUGUUUGGAGUUUUGUAACAAUGUUAUGGUUUUGUUUUUUUUUGCCUUAGUUGGCGGCCUUGUGGAAGACAUUCAAAAUUGCAUGGGUGUGCUAACUUUUUAUCCUUUUGAAUCUUUUUUUUGUUUUUAUUAUUGAUGAUGAAUGAAUGUAAUGACUUUUGUAAUUAUUGAAUAAAGCUGUGAAUAUAUUGUACAGUCAUAUAAAGGUGUACAGUGUUGACAUUGUGUAAGCUAAAAGGAAAGUGUUAAGUUGAGUAUGAACUGAGACUGUUAAAUGUCAGUGCUUAUAUUUGUGGUAAGGGAUUUGAAAAAGAAAUUUUUAAACCAUAUUCGUGAUUUGCCUGAAUAUGAUCAUUUGAAAAUUUUGUAGGCAAGAUUUUGUAGCAUAAAAUGGAAGAGUGAUUACAAUGUCCAUUGGUCACUGUAAGCCCAAAAUAGCUUUACCAAAAACUGUCAUACAGUGAAAACUAUUGAUAAAGCUAAUAAAACUAAAUAUUAUUAGGAUAUGACAUUUCACGUUAACGUUUGCUUAUUUUGCACAUCAUUGAGUUGUAUAAUCCAGGUCUGGCGCAGUUGUCAGUGCGUAUUGUCUAUCCGGAUGUGUGCGGUCCUGUUCACCGGCUGAUGUGAUGCGCUGUGACAAACUGAGAUCUGCUUGGGCGCCACCUAACCCCAUGGCCAUGAUGUAACUCCGCCCCCUUCCUCCUCACCACAUAUAACACCAUUCUCCGGCUUUAACCGAGUGGGCCUAUUGGUUGAGCUUGCGACACGUCACUGAAAUUGAAAUUCUGUGUGGGUGACAUAGGGUGAAGCUUUUGUUUUCUCCCUUUUUUAGUAGGGCUGUCAAAAUUAAAGGUGCACUGUGUAACUUUACUGGUGGAGAGUACGCUACCGGGUCAUGUCCAUGAAGGUGUUAUAGGUUUGAUGAGAAUGUUCCACAGUAUUGCAAUGUUUUUAUUGCUUAAAAAUACACUGAAAAACAUUCUUACUGUAAGCUGGACUGCCAUUCCAUUGAUCUGACCUGUAACUUGGCCUCAUGGUGUUACCUGCUUGUCUCCAUGGAGAUAUUAAUAGUUUAAGGCCAUUCAUUUGGGACGUUCUAAGCAAUGCAAUAACAUUUCCAUUGAGACAAGCAGGUGACAGACCCCCCCCCCACCAGAAAACUUUCUCAGUGCAGCUUUACAUAAUGCAAUGUAAUGAAGUCCCUUUUGACAAAACUGUUGGAAAUAAAGGAUUUUAAAGAAAGUGUAAACAAGAAGAAUAUUUUGAAAGCACCUUAAAUGACUCUGUGUAUAGACUACCGAUAAUUGUGCAAUAUUAUUUUGAUGAGCUAGCUAUAUCUGCCAUGGUAUUGUAGUUUGUAUCAAAUGUACUGUAAAUGUUCUAAUACAGGGGAUGAAGACGGUCCCAU